This is a long non-coding RNA of Suricata suricatta (meerkat), 526 nucleotides long. RefSeq lists it as uncharacterized. Lineage: Eukaryota; Metazoa; Chordata; Mammalia; Carnivora; Herpestidae. The transcript has 3 exons. The record is from RefSeq and is a predicted model, not a curated record.
CUAGGGGCAGACAGCAGAUUAGUUCUGUGUCAGUCUCCCAAUCAAGGCAGAAGCAGAAGCUGAGGCAUAGAAAAAAGCUCGCAAGCCAAGUCCGUAAGGACACAGGCAAGCUCCCAGAGCCUGUUAGUUUCAGAGAGUGAAUGAAGUAAAGAGAAUCGGGAGAAAGGAAAAGAAAAGGAACUGGCAACAAGAAUUUAAUCUAGCACAGAGAAUGUAGGAAGACGAAAGGAGCAAGGAGUCUUACUGACCAUUGUUACAUCACCAAAAUGAAGAGAAAGGGAAUUCUACACCCUUCAUUAAUUGCAGGGUUACCUCCAGAGUUUUCUGUUUAUACAAUAGGAGACAUAUCAAAAGAAUGGCAAAUCUUGUAAUGAGGAAAUCUAUGAAUUAGAGCAUGAUUGUUUAAAAGACCAUGGGCUCUGGAACUAAACAGAAUGACGUGGAAACCUAGCAGUGCUUCUUAGAUUUGUGAACUUGAGAAAGUUACUUAUCUCUCUGUGUCAGUUUUCUUAAAUAAAGAUUAUAA